GCGGCAACAAACCACAAAGCAAAAUGCUGAGAAGAGUUUUACUAAAUGAAGUUUCCACUUGCCGUCAUUUUCUGUUCAACAAAGCAGCAACUUCUCUUUCAUUUCCUCUGCGCAGGAUUAACUCCUUUUUUUCUUCGUCUUCGCAAUCAGAAUUCCCCAACGCUCCUUUCGUCGAACAUUUGGAGAACCACAAGGCCCAACCUACCACUACCAUCUCCAUCGACCGCUCCGGACUUUAUAACCCCGAUGAGCAUUCUCAUGAAUCCACUUUGGAGUCGGAGCUUAUCAAGCACCUUAAAGGCGUUAUCAAGUUCCGAGGUGGCCCAAUUACAGUGGCUGAGUACAUGGAAGAAGUUUUGACAAACCCUAAAGCCGGGUUCUACAUUAAUCGAGAUGUGUUUGGAGCAGAAGGUGAUUUUAUAACAUCUCCUGAAGUUAGCCAGAUGUUUGGGGAGAUGAUUGGUGUGUGGGCCAUGUGUUUAUGGGAGCAAAUGGGACAGCNAGAGUGAACCUGGUAGAGCUUGGUCCAGGUCGAGGAACUCUUAUGGCUGAUCUUCUGCGUGGCGC
This 567-nucleotide unclassified non-coding RNA is filed under the name Hevea brasiliensis (rubber tree). The record is from RNAcentral. Lineage: Eukaryota; Viridiplantae; Streptophyta; Magnoliopsida; Malpighiales; Euphorbiaceae.